Long non-coding RNA from Vanessa tameamea, 1222 nucleotides. RefSeq lists it as uncharacterized. The record is from RefSeq and is a predicted model, not a curated record. Lineage: Eukaryota; Metazoa; Arthropoda; Insecta; Lepidoptera; Nymphalidae. The transcript has 2 exons.
AUAUUCUGUGAAAAUAAAUAGUUAUCUUGAUAUAAAUUUAAAACAAAUUCCAGUGAUGUGAUUAUAUUGUCAAAGAAUAUCAAAACGCUGACAGACGCUAUUAAAACGAAUUCAUUCGCAUUGUGUUUAACGAUAUUUUUGGGAUUUGUUAUCAUUAGCUUUGGUAUUGUUAAUCCAGUCAAAACUCUUAAUGAUUUAAAAUCAUCAAACUUAUCAAAGCCAAUUGAAUCGGCUGAGGACAAGCUGAUAAGAAUAGUAACGGCCACUAACGCUUCUAGAAACUAUAUUCUUGGUGUGUUCUCAUUGUUUUUACUUCUUAUAAUCUUAAGGCUAUCCGAUUAUGUUCAGUUUUCAGCCAAGCUAUAUGAAUUUUCGAAUUUAAUGGCAAACUAUGAAUUGAUCGAUAUAACAUUAUCGAAUGAACGUGAGCUAAAACCAGAAGAGUCUAGUUUUAUAAUAGGAGAAUUCCUUGAUGACGAAGAAACUAUUCAUUGGCCAUCAAUUAUCGAUUUUAAUAAAGAAGAACAUAAUAUUAUGCGACAAUUCUUCAAAAUAACGCCGAAGAAAAAUCCAAGUAAAACAAGUCGUAAAGAAAAACAGACGAAGGAGACAAAAAGUCCAUCUAAUUCGGUAGAAAACCGCCCGGAGAUUAAAAUUUCAAAGGCUCAGUAUUCAAAAGAAGUAACUAAAAAUGAUUAACGUAUUCAAUACAUUCGUAGGAAUUAUAUUAUACGUGGAACUAGUAUUCAUAGUUUUUCUUUUAAAACCUAUAAAGGAACCAUAUUUUGUAAGAGAUUGUUGGUGCAAAGUACAGGAAAAUACUAAUUUUCCGUCGAAUAUUAUCUUACUCCUUACAAUGACCUUAAUAGCAAAUACGCUAUUAGAAAUAGCUUGGGAGGAAAGUUAAUACGGAUAUCUCUUGAAUAGUAUUAAUAACUCUGAAUUAGUUUGGAAUUUUUACUUAACAAAAAUGUCAAUUAACUUUACAUGUUCUUUUAUUGCGUUUUAUAUGUUAAUAGUAAUAGAACGAGUUACACAAUUUCUAAUUAUUGUAGCUCGCUUGUUAGAUUUUGAACUAAUGUGUAGAUAUGCAAUUUUAUCUAAAGAUGAUAUUUCGCAAAAAUCUUACAAACCAACAUCGACGUUUAGAACGACUCAGCCACAAAGAACAGAUAUUAAAAUAUGACUUUAUAUAUUUAAUUAUACUUCAAUAAAAAAAGAA